This 253-nucleotide ribosomal RNA is filed under the name uncultured bacterium. RNAcentral's name for it is "partial 16S ribosomal RNA". It matches the Rfam family "Bacterial small subunit ribosomal RNA", at positions 524 to 776 of the family's 1533-position model. The record is from RNAcentral.
UACGGAGGGUGCGAACGUUGCUCGGAAUCAUUGGGCGUAAAGCGCACGUAGGCUGCGAGGCAAGUUGGGUGUGAAAGCCCUGGGCUCAACCCAGGAAGUGCAUUCAAAACUACCUUGCUUGAAUCUCGGAGGGGGUCAGAGAAUUCCCGGUGUAGAGGUGAAAUUCGUAGAUCUCGAGAGGAACACCAAUGGCGAAGGCAGCUUCUUAGUCCAUUCCUGACGUUGAGACACGAAAGCGUGGGGAGCAAACAGG